RNA transcript from Spinacia oleracea (spinach), 2411 nucleotides. It is a transcript of the gene named centromere/kinetochore protein zw10 homolog, with no coding region annotated. The record is from RefSeq and is a predicted model, not a curated record. NCBI's taxonomy places the organism in Eukaryota, Viridiplantae, Streptophyta, Magnoliopsida, Caryophyllales, Amaranthaceae. The transcript has 7 exons.
CUUAAGCUCCGCCACCGCCGUGGUCAUUCGAACUCAUCUCUGCCGCCGCCGUUCUCACUUGGGGUACAUUAUGCUUCCACUGGCUCCUCCUCAUCCUUGCCUUUUUUUUGUUCAAUUGCUCUAUUCCCCCUCAUUUCAGUCUCUCAAUUUACAUGAAUUGUGUUUGAAUUAUCUAAUUAUUGCUCUCUUGCUCUGUCCUCUCCUCUCUUCUCUCCCGCUGAAACUGUAAAUUAAUUAACCCUAAUUUUCAAUGUCGAAUUUUGGCUUAAAAGAACCUUAAAAAUGCUUUAAAUUUAUCUCUGAUUGUAUCCUACAAAUUUGGUGUUGGUUCAGGCUCGAGACUAAGAAACCUGAAAUUUUUGUUCAUGGGUUUUGCUUAGGUUUUAAACUAAAUUUAAGAUUUCACUGUAAUUCGUUCCUUGGUGUAACACGUUGUAUUUGGGUUUGUAGAUUCAAGAUUUGCUUGUCAACUUUUUGAACAUUGUGGUGAGUUUUGACACUGAUUUUGGUGGAAUUCGGGUUGUUUAUCGCUCUGGCGUUGGUGAGGCUCGUGGUGUCGAGCUUCGUAAUGUUAUGGAAGCCAUGGAUGUGCUAGGAAUACUUGAUUAUGGGCUUGCAAGGACCGCUGACUUAUUCAUCAAGCAUGUCAUUGCUCCUGCAGUGAAAUUUAACUCCCCUGUUUCGUUUCUGGAAGAAUCUAGUGGUAGCUUGGUCGAGAGCAGUGACAAAAUCUUGAAGAUAGUCUCAAGUCUAGAGCCGAAGACAGAUGACAUUGAUAGCGAUGCUCUAUUCUCAAGAAUGACGAUAGUUGUUAAGUUUAUCCACCAGUAUAUAUGUCUUGAAAAUGGUCCUUGGAUGCGUUGUUUCGGAAGGUUGCGUGGCCAAGAAUGUCUGAGCUUAUUAUUUCUAACUUCCUCUCAAAGGUUGUCCCUGAUGAUGCUUCAAAGUUAGUUGAUUUUCAGAAGAUCAUGAACUCUUCUUCUGAAUUUGAGAUUGUUUUACAGGAGAUUAUGUUCAUUUCCAAAUCUGAUAAGAAUGAUGAAAGAUUAAGCAACUUUGCUGAUAACGUGGAGGUACACUUUGCUGUGAGGAAAAAGAGAGAAAUGCUGGCAAAUGCUAGACAGUUGAUUCUACGAUGUGACUUUACUGUUCCAGAAGUCAACUCUCAUUCAACCUGUCUUAUAUCUUUGUGCUCAUCUGCUGGAAUUACGUACUAACAAUUAGCUCUCAGGAGUUUAGCAGCAAAGGACCUAAGUUCGGAAAUAACAGAUACACUGAUUGUGCUGUCAAUUUGCUAUUUUCGUCAGAGAAGUGUAUAGUGUCCCUUGCUGCUUGUCAGUUGAUGAAGUUGGUGCAUCAAACACUUCAAGAUGUUUGUUUGUCAUCCCCAAGAGUGGCGUUGGAAUUCUAUCAUGCUGCAAGGGAUGUUCUGUUGCUGUAUGAAGCUACCAUUCCAAUCAAGAGCUAUGGGGGGUUUUUGUGCUGUUACAUAUCUAAGUUUUGCCCACAAGGGUUAAAGCAAGUCCUUGUAACAGGCGGAAUUCCAUCAAUUAAGGAUGGAUGUAAUGCAGAUGCCGUAUAUCAUGCAUGCUUUGAAAAGAUUGUGCGACAAAAUGAGAAAUAUUAUGCGACAAAAUUAUAUACCGUAAUUCUUUAGUCUUCCCAAUUUCUUCUUUUCUUUGUUCGUUCCCUUAAUUCCUCUGUUUUACACAGGCUUGAGAGAGCCUGGGAUCUGUAGUGCAGCAGCUACCCCCAACUAAGCCCCCUGUGAGAAUGACAUAUGUCAGACGUAAGAGGAAGGAUAAAUCAGGAAUUACAACUUAAUGGUGUCAGCAUUCUGUUAGAAAAUACCGUGAGCAGCAAGUUGGUGAUUGUCACGCAUGAGAGAGGAGUUGUCAGAGCUAGCACUAUAAAUAAGGCAGGAGCCGUAAAAGAAUGUUAUGUGAUAUAUUCUGUCUUUUUCUUGUCCUUCUACCUCAGUUGUAUGCACCAUUGGUGAUUUAAUAGCUUCAAAUACAACUAUUUCUAUCCUAGCCUUAAUAUUAUUACCUUUGUUUCUGGGUACAGAUUUGCAUCCACUAAUUCCAUAACAAACUUGGAGUUGGUGGAAAAACCUGACUCCUUGGUAGGAGUUCGACCUGCUGUUUCUGGAGAUGGAACUGCGUUAGAAGUACUCAUUAAGUGGGAUAACCUGCCAGAUUAUGAGGCAACUUGGGAAGAUUUCCUUGCCGUCCAGACCAGAUUUCCGGCUUUUCACCUUGAGGACAAGGUGACUCUAUUAUUUACUUGUGGACAAGGGAGACAAAGUUCCCACAUGCUGUAUGGAAGGCUGGUCAUGGUCUAAUUGCUCUUCUUUUGUGAAACUUUGAUGUUGUUAAUAAUAUAUGGCUUGAGCCCUUUCCUGGGAGGUU